This 71-nucleotide transfer RNA is filed under the name Sterigmatomyces sp. RNAcentral describes it as "tRNA-Trp". It matches the Rfam family "tRNA". From Rfam's summary of the family: Transfer RNA (tRNA) molecules are approximately 80 nucleotides in length. Their secondary structure includes four short double-helical elements and three loops (D, anti-codon, and T loops). The record is from RNAcentral. Lineage: Eukaryota; Fungi; Basidiomycota; Agaricostilbomycetes; Agaricostilbales; Agaricostilbaceae.
AGGGACUUAGUUUAAUGGUAGAAUCACUGUCUUCAAAACAGUUCGCGUAGGUUCGAUUCCUGCAGUCCCUG